RNAcentral lists this ribosomal RNA (366 nucleotides) under uncultured bacterium. Its description in RNAcentral is "bacterial SSU rRNA". It matches the Rfam family "Bacterial small subunit ribosomal RNA", at positions 28 to 407 of the family's 1533-position model. The record is from RNAcentral.
AAUGAACGUUGGCGGCGUGGAUUAGGCAUGCAAGUCGGACGGGCCGCAAGGCCAGUGGCGCAAGGGUGAGUAAGGCGACGGUAACCAACCCCGCGGAUGGGCAUAGCCGGGGGAAACCCCGGGUAAUUCCCGGCGACGUGGCGUCCCGGCAUCGGGGUGCCACCAAAGAUUCAUCGCCGCGGGACGGGCCGUCGUGGUAUUAGGUAGUUGGCGGGGUGACGGCCCACCAAGCCUGCGAUGCCUACCGGGCGUGCGAGCGNGGCCCGGCACACUGGGACUGAGACACUGCCCAGACUCCUACGGGAGGCUGCAGUCGAGAAUCUUCGGCAAUGGGCGCAAGCCUGACCGAGCGACGCCGCGUGGAGG